This 253-nucleotide ribosomal RNA is filed under the name uncultured bacterium. RNAcentral describes it as "partial 16S ribosomal RNA". It matches the Rfam family "Bacterial small subunit ribosomal RNA", at positions 524 to 776 of the family's 1533-position model. The record is from RNAcentral.
UACGUAGGGUGCAAGCGUUAAUCGGAAUUACUGGGCGUAAAGCGUGCGCAGGCGGUUGGGCAAGACCGAUGUGAAAUCCCCGGGCUUAACCUGGGAAUGGCAUUGGUGACUGCACGGCUAGAGUGCGGCAGAGGAGACUGGAAUUCCUGGUGUAGCAGUGAAAUGCGUAGAUAUCAGGAGGAACACCGAUGGCGAAGGCAGGUCUCUGGGCUGACACUGACGCUCAUGCACGAAAGCGUGGGGAGCAAACAGG